RNAcentral lists this ribosomal RNA (255 nucleotides) under uncultured bacterium. Its description in RNAcentral is "partial 16S ribosomal RNA". It matches the Rfam family "Bacterial small subunit ribosomal RNA", at positions 793 to 1055 of the family's 1533-position model. The record is from RNAcentral.
GUCCACGCCGUAAACGAUGGAUACUAGCUGUUGGGAGCGAUCUCAGUGGCUAAGCGAAAGUGAUAAGUAUCCCACCUGGGGAGUACGUUCGCAAGAAUGAAACUCAAAGGAAUUGACGGGGGCCCGCACAAGCGGUGGAGCAUGUGGUUUAAUUCGAUGAUACGCGAGGAACCUUACCAAGGCUUAAAUGUAGUUUGACCCAUUUGGAAACAGAUCUUUCGCAAGACAAAUUACAAGGUGCUGCAUGGUUGUCGU